AGGACGAACGCUGGCGGCGUGCUUAACACAUGCAAGUGGUGCGACGAACCGGGGCUUGCCCCGGGGCCAAGCCGCGAACGGGUGAGUAACACGUGAGUAAUCUGCCCCGAUGACCGGGACAACCCGAGGAAACUCGGGCUAAUACCGGAUGUGGUGCACAGAUCUAAGUUUGUGUACUAAAGGAAGCUUCGGCCUCCGCAUUGGGAGGAGCUCGCGGCCCAUUAGCUUGUUGGUGGGGUAACGGCCUACCAAGGCAACGAUGGGUAGCUGGUCUGAGAGGACGAUCAGCCACACUGGGACUGAGACACGGCCCAGACUCCUACGGGAGGCAGCAGUGGGGAAUCUUGCGCAAUGCGCGAAAGCGUGACGCAGCAACGCCGCGUGGGGGAAGACGGCCUUCGGGUUGUAAACCCCUUUCAGGAGGGACGAAGGUUCACCGGUUAAUAGCCGUGUGGAUUGACGGUACCUCCACAAGAAGCUCCGGCUAACUACGUGCCAGCAGCCGCGGUAA
This 511-nucleotide ribosomal RNA is filed under the name uncultured bacterium. Its description in RNAcentral is "SSU rRNA". It matches the Rfam family "Bacterial small subunit ribosomal RNA", at positions 26 to 523 of the family's 1533-position model. The record is from RNAcentral.